AACGCACAUUGCGCCUGCCGGCAUCCCGGCAGGCAUGCCCGUCCGAGCGUCAUUGCCACCCUCAGGCCCUGCCUGGCGUUGGAGUGCUGCGCUGCAGCCUCCCAAAGACAGCGGCGGCCGCCUCCGCAGCCGAGCGUAGUAAUACACCUCGCUCCGGCCCGCGGGCGCGUUCGGCCGUGAAACUAUACUGUAGUUGACCUCGGAUCGGGUAGGAAUACCCGCUGAACUUAA
RNAcentral lists this unclassified non-coding RNA (231 nucleotides) under uncultured fungus. Its description in RNAcentral is "sequence contains ITS2". Lineage: Eukaryota; Fungi. The record is from RNAcentral.